Molecule: long non-coding RNA, 435 nt
Filed under: Cyanistes caeruleus (blue tit)
Lineage: Eukaryota; Metazoa; Chordata; Aves; Passeriformes; Paridae
Description: lncRNA (ENSCCEG00000002254.1)
Source: RNAcentral
UUAAGCCAAGAAAAUAUUCUUGUAUCACAAGUCUGUGGACUCAACUCAGCCACAAGAAAUCACAUAAAGAGAAAUAAGCAUAAACUAUUUUGAAAAAAGAAUCCUACUGGACAAAUAUAUUUAUGAAGAGAGAAUCAUCAAAUUCAGUGAUGUUUCACCAGAAGUUUCUAUCAAUAUAUGGCUUAGAGAAGCCAAAUCAAAGGCCACAAAAACCUCUGAUUUUGGAUGAAAAAAUGCCAGACAGAGAAUUCUCACAAGAACCUUCAAAUAGUGAUGUAGACACUGAAUGGCUUUUUAGCACUAACUUGCCUUUUCCACUGAACCUUCAAGAUGCCAAGAAUUUCCUCUGUGGGCUAGAGAGGAAUCUCUAGAUACAUGAGCUGGAGAUAAAUAACUUUCCUAUGAGCAGGAUCAAAUUUGAAAUGUAAGUGAUCA